GACGGGGGGGGCAAGUGUUCUUCGGAAUGACUGGGCGUAAAGGGCACGUAGGCGGUGAAUCGGGUUGAAAGUGAAAGUCGCCAAAAAGUGGCGGAAUGCUCUCGAAACCAAUUCACUUGAGUGAGACAGAGGAGAGUGGAAUUUCGUGUGUAGGGGUGAAAUCCGUAGAUCUACGAAGGAACGCCAAAAGCGAAGGCAGCUCGCUGGGACGUUACUGACGCUGAGACGCGAAAGCGUGGGGAGCAAACAGG
This 251-nucleotide ribosomal RNA is filed under the name uncultured bacterium. RNAcentral describes it as "partial 16S ribosomal RNA". It matches the Rfam family "Bacterial small subunit ribosomal RNA", at positions 524 to 776 of the family's 1533-position model. The record is from RNAcentral.